RNAcentral lists this ribosomal RNA (722 nucleotides) under Maribacter sp. MAR_2009_72. RNAcentral's name for it is "bacterial SSU rRNA". It matches the Rfam family "Bacterial small subunit ribosomal RNA", at positions 21 to 732 of the family's 1533-position model. The record is from RNAcentral. Lineage: Bacteria; Pseudomonadati; Bacteroidota; Flavobacteriia; Flavobacteriales; Flavobacteriaceae.
GGCUCAGGAUGAACGCUAGCGGCAGGCCUAACACAUGCAAGUCGAGGGGCAGCGGGGAAAAGCUUGCUUUUCCGCCGGCGACCGGCGCACGGGUGCGCACCGCGUAUGGAACCUGCCUUGUACAGGGGAAUAGCCCAGGGAAACUUGGAUUAAUGCCCCAUGGUACCACGACCCGGCAUCGGGAUGUGGUUAAAGCCCUCGGGCGGUACAAGAUGGCCAUGCGUCCCAUUAGCUUGUUGGUAAGGUAACGGCUUACCAAGGCUACGAUGGGUAGGGGCCCUGAGAGGGGGAUCCCCCACACUGGUACUGAGACACGGACCAGACUCCUACGGGAGGCAGCAGUGAGGAAUAUUGGACAAUGGAGGAGACUCUGAUCCAGCCAUGCCGCGUGCAGGAAGAAUGCCCUAUGGGUAGUAAACUGCUUUUAUACGGGAAGAAAAAGGGCUACGUGUAGCCUACUGACGGUACCGUAAGAAUAAGGACCGGCUAACUCCGUGCCAGCAGCCGCGGUAAUACGGAGGGUCCGAGCGUUAUCCGGAAUUAUUGGGUUUAAAGGGUCCGUAGGCGGGCCGAUAAGUCAGGGGUGAAAGUCUGCCGCUCAACGGUAGAACUGCCUUUGAUACUGUCGGUCUUGAGUUAUAGUGAAGUUGCCGGAAUAUGUAGUGUAGCGGUGAAAUGCAUAGAUAUUACAUAGAACACCGAUUGCGAAGGCAGGUGACUAA